UAGGGAAUAUUGCAAAUGGGCGCAAGCCUGAUGUAGCAACGCCGCGUGUGCGAUGAAGGUCUUCGGAUUGUGAAGCACUUUUUGGAGGGAUGAGGAAGGACAGUACCUCCAGAAUAAGCCUCGGCUAACUACGUGCCAGCAGCCGCGGUAACACGUAGGGGGCAAGCGUUAUUCGGAUUUACUGGGCGUAAAGCGCGUGCAGGCGGUUUGGAAAGUUGGAUGUGAAAGCUCCUGGCUCAACUGGGAGAGGUCGUUCGAAACUUCCAGACUUGAGAGUGGUAGAGGGAGGUGGAAUUCCGGGUGUAGUGGUGAAAUGCGUAGAUAUCCGGAGGAACACCAGUGGCGAAAGCGGCCUCCUGGACCACUUCUGACGCUCAGACGCGAAAGCUAGGGUAGCAAACGG
RNAcentral lists this ribosomal RNA (403 nucleotides) under uncultured bacterium. RNAcentral describes it as "bacterial SSU rRNA". It matches the Rfam family "Bacterial small subunit ribosomal RNA", at positions 355 to 775 of the family's 1533-position model. The record is from RNAcentral.